This 67-nucleotide transfer RNA is filed under the name Marmota monax (woodchuck). RNAcentral's name for it is "tRNA.Ala". The record is from RNAcentral. Lineage: Eukaryota; Metazoa; Chordata; Mammalia; Rodentia; Sciuridae.
GGUUAUGGCUCAGUGGUAAAGCACUUGCUUAGCAUGUGUGAGGCACUGGGUUCAAUUCUCAGCACCA